Molecule: ribosomal RNA, 253 nt
Filed under: uncultured bacterium
Lineage: Bacteria
Description: partial 16S ribosomal RNA
Rfam family: Bacterial small subunit ribosomal RNA
Source: RNAcentral
CACGUAGGGCGCAAGCGUUGUCCGGAAUUAUGGUGCGUAAAGCGCACGUAGGCGGCUUUGUAAGUUAGAGGUGAAAGCCCAGGGCUUAACCCUGGAAUUGCCUUUAAGACUGCAUCGCUAGAGUCCGGAAGAGGAGAGUGGAAUUCCUGGUGUAGCGGUGAAAUGCGCAGAUAUCAGGAGGAACACCGGUGGCGAAGGCGGCUUGCUGGGCCUUACCUGACGCUGAGGAGCGAAAGCGUGGGGAGCGAACAGG